This 357-nucleotide long non-coding RNA is filed under the name Mytilus galloprovincialis (Mediterranean mussel). The record is from RNAcentral. Lineage: Eukaryota; Metazoa; Mollusca; Bivalvia; Mytilida; Mytilidae.
CUAUAAUUACCUAUGUAAAUAAAUGUAAACACGCUAAGUUUACUUUAUAAUAAAUAUAUAUUUAAAUUCUUUCGAAAGACAAUGUUCAGAUCCGUGUUAACGUUGCUUUUCAUAAAUUGUUGGUUUUAAAAAAAAUAUAAAAAACCGGGUGAUAUAUAUAGACGAAACCGGGUGUUGUGUAGUAAACAACAAUGACGAAACCGGUGUAUUUUAAUUUGACAUGACCCAUUUCUUUCGUUCCAUACACAGAAAUACAAGUAUUGAGAUGCUCAUAAUGACUAGUUUUGCAAUCUUUGUGUCAUAUCUAUCUUCCCGUACCUUUCUUUCCGUACAAUGUGAACAAUUUAACGAGAAAUU